AUGGGCGGGAGCCUGAACCAGCCAAGUCGCGUGAAGGAAGAAGGAUCUAUGGUUCGUAAACUUCUUUUGCAGGGGAAUAAAGUGCAGGACGUGUCCUGUUUUGUAUGUACCCUGAGAAUAAGGAUCGGCUAACUCCGUGCCAGCAGCCGCGGUAAUACGGAGGAUCCGAGCGUUAUCCGGAUUUAUUGGGUUUAAAGGGUGCGUAGGUGGUUUGAUAAGUCAGCGGUGAAAGUUUGCAGCUUAACUGUAAAAAUGCCGUUGAAACUGUCGGACUUGAGUGUAAAUGAGGUAGGCGGAAUGCGUGGUGUAGCGGUGAAAUGCAUAGAUAUCACGCAGAACUCCGAUUGCGAAGGCAGCUUACUAAACUACAACUGACACUGAAGCACGAAAGCGUGGGGAUCAAACAGGAUUAGAUACCCUGGUAGUCCACGCAGUAAACGAUGAUUACUAGCUGUUUGCGAUACACAGUAAGCGGCACAGCGAAAGCGUUAAGUAAUCCACCU
RNAcentral lists this ribosomal RNA (503 nucleotides) under uncultured bacterium. Its description in RNAcentral is "bacterial SSU rRNA". It matches the Rfam family "Bacterial small subunit ribosomal RNA", at positions 371 to 874 of the family's 1533-position model. The record is from RNAcentral.